AGAGUUUGAUCAUGGCUCAGAACGAACGCUGGCGGCGUGGAUAAGACAUGCAAGUCGGACGAGAUUUUCCGUUGUAGCAAUACGAUGGAAAGUCUAGUGGCGAACGGGUGCUUAACACGUGGGCAACCUGCCAAGAAGUGGGGAAUAGCUCGCCGAAAGGCGAAUUAAUACCGUAUGUGAUCAGAGAGGACAUCCUUUCGAAAUUAAAGUCGGGGCAACCUGACGCUUUCUGUGGGGCCCGCGGCCUAUCAGCUAGUUGGUGAGGUAACGGCCCACCAAGGCUUUGACGGGUAGCUGGUCUGAGAGGACGACCAGCCACACUGGGACUGAGACACGGCCCAGACACCUACGGGUGGCAGCAGUCGAGAAUUUUUGACAAUGGGGGAAACCCUGAUCGAGCGACGCCGCGUGGAGGAUGAAGGUCUUCGGAUUGUAAACUCCUGUCAUCGGGGAACAAUGCGUGACGGUUAACUGCCGCUGCGUUGAUAGUACCCGAAGAGGAAGAGACGGCUAACUCUGUGCCAGCAGCCGCGGUAAUACAGAGGUCUCAAGCGUUGUUCGGAUUCAUUGGGCGUAAAGGGUGCGUAGGCGGCGCGGUAAGUCGGGUGUGAAAUCUCGGAGCUUAACUCCGAAACUGCAUUCGAUACUGCCGUGCUUGAGGACUGGAGAGGAGACUGGAAUUUACGGUGUAGCGGUGAAAUGCGUAGAUAUCGUAAGGAAGACCAGUGGCGAAGGCGGGUCUCUGGACAGUUCCUGACGCUGAGGCACGAAAGCCAGGGGAGCAAACGGGAUUAGAUACCCCGGUAGUCCUGGCAGUAAACGGUGCACGUUUGGUGUGGGAGGAUUCGACCCCUUCUGCGCCGGAGCUAACGCGUUAAACGUGCCGCCUGGGGAGUACGGUCGCAAGAUUAAAACUCAAAGAAAUUGACGGGGCCCGCACAAGCGGUGGAGUAUGUGGCUCAAUUCGAUGCA
This 972-nucleotide ribosomal RNA is filed under the name uncultured bacterium. RNAcentral's name for it is "bacterial SSU rRNA". It matches the Rfam family "Bacterial small subunit ribosomal RNA", at positions 8 to 958 of the family's 1533-position model. The record is from RNAcentral.